RNAcentral lists this ribosomal RNA (579 nucleotides) under Alternaria alternata. RNAcentral's name for it is "partial large subunit ribosomal RNA". It matches the Rfam family "Eukaryotic large subunit ribosomal RNA", at positions 72 to 669 of the family's 3401-position model. The record is from RNAcentral. Lineage: Eukaryota; Fungi; Ascomycota; Dothideomycetes; Pleosporales; Pleosporaceae.
AGCAUGCCUAGUACGGCGAGUGAGCGGCAACAGCUCAAUUUGAAAUCUGGCUCUUUUAGAGUCCGAGUUGUAAUUUGCAGAGGGCGCUUUGGCUUUGGCAGCGGUCCAAGUUCCUUGGAACAGGACGUCACAGAGGGUGAGAAUCCCGUACGUGGUCGCUGGCUAUUGCCGUGUAAAGCCCCUUCGACGAGUCGAGUUGUUUGGGAAUGCAGCUCUAAAUGGGAGGUACAUUUCUUCUAAAGCUAAAUAUUGGCCAGAGACCGAUAGCGCACAAGUAGAGUGAUCGAAAGAUGAAAAGCACUUUGGAAAGAGAGUCAAACAGCACGUGAAAUUGUUGAAAGGGAAGCGCUUGCAGCCAGACUUGCUUACAGUUGCUCAUCCGGGUUCUUACCCGGUGCACUCUUCUGUAGGCAGGCCAGCAUCAGUUUGGGCGGUAGGAUAAAGGUCUCUGUCACGUACCUCCUUUCGGGGAGGCCUUAUAGGGGAGACGACAUACUACCAGCCUGGACUGAGGUCCGCGCAUCUGCUAGGAUGCUGGCGUAAUGGCUGUAAGCGGCCCGUCUUGAACCACCGGACCGA